RNAcentral lists this ribosomal RNA (467 nucleotides) under uncultured bacterium. RNAcentral describes it as "bacterial SSU rRNA". It matches the Rfam family "Bacterial small subunit ribosomal RNA", at positions 49 to 509 of the family's 1533-position model. The record is from RNAcentral.
UAACACAUGACAAGUCGAGACGAAGCUACUUUUACUUUGUAUUCGUUCGGAUGGAAGGAGUUUUGUGACUGAGCGGCGGACGGGUGAGUACGCGUGGGUAACCUGCCUCAUACAGGGGGAUAACAGUUAGAAAUGACUGCUAAUACCGCAUAAGACCACAGCGCCGCAUGGUGCAGGGGUAAAAACUCCGGUGGUAUGAGAUGGACCCGCGUCUGAUUAGCUAGUUGGUAAGGUAACGGCUUACCAAGGCGACGAUCAGUAGCCGACCUGAGAGGGUGACCGGCCACAUUGGGACUGAGACACGGCCCAAACUCCUACGGGAGGCAGCAGUGGGGAAUAUUGCACAAUGGGGGAAACCCUGAUGCAGCGACGCCGCGUGAGCGAAGAAGUAUUUCGGUAUGUAAAGCUCUAUCAGCAGGGAAGAAACUGACGGUACCUGACUAAGAAGCACCGGCUAAAUACGUGCC